RNAcentral lists this ribosomal RNA (253 nucleotides) under uncultured bacterium. RNAcentral describes it as "partial 16S ribosomal RNA". It matches the Rfam family "Bacterial small subunit ribosomal RNA", at positions 524 to 776 of the family's 1533-position model. The record is from RNAcentral.
UACAGAGGGUGCAAGCGUUAUUCGGAAUUACUGGGCGUAAAGCGCAUGUAGGUGGUUUGAUAAGUCUGAUGUGAAAGCCCUCGACUCAAUCGGGGAAGUGCACUGGAUACUGUCAGACUAGAGUGCAGGAGGGGUGAGCGGAAUUCCUGGUGGAGAGGUGAAAUUCGUAGAUAUCAGGAGGAACAACGGUGGCGAAGGCGGCUCACUGGACUGCAACUGACACUUAGGUGCGAAAGCGUGGGGAUCAAACAGG